GAGAUACUCUGAUGGAGCAGGACUUGUUUCAGUGGGGCUUUGGUGUUCACUGAGUCUGACUCUUAGUGUGUCUCU
Molecule: non-coding RNA, 75 nt
Organism: Myotis davidii
Lineage: Eukaryota; Metazoa; Chordata; Mammalia; Chiroptera; Vespertilionidae
Source: Rfam